RNAcentral lists this ribosomal RNA (253 nucleotides) under uncultured bacterium. RNAcentral's name for it is "partial 16S ribosomal RNA". It matches the Rfam family "Bacterial small subunit ribosomal RNA", at positions 524 to 777 of the family's 1533-position model. The record is from RNAcentral.
UACGGGGGGGGCAAGCGUUGUUCGGAAUUACUGGGCGUAAAGGGCUCGUAGGCGGCCAACUAAGUCAGACGUGAAAUCCCUCGGCUUAACCGGGGAACUGCGUCUGAUACUGGUUGGCUUGAAUCCGGGAGAGGGAUGUGGAAUUCCAGGUGUAGCGGUGAAAUGCGUAGAUAUCUGGAGGAACACCGGUGGCGAAGGCGGCAUCCUGGACCGGUAUUGACGCUGAGGAGCGAAAGCCAGGGAGCAAAGCGGG